Molecule: long non-coding RNA, 1621 nt
Organism: Lutra lutra (Eurasian river otter)
Lineage: Eukaryota; Metazoa; Chordata; Mammalia; Carnivora; Mustelidae
Exons: 4
Source: RefSeq, a predicted model, not a curated record
GGCCUACGGUAUGACUCAACAGAAAGGGAUUUUGCAUGCAGGCCUCGUGUCCCAGAAUCUGCCCUCGUGAAAUGCAGAGAGCAUUACGGUAGGCACACUGCCGGAUUGUUCGGAGGAUCUGAUGACAUGAAUAUGUAAAGUUUGAGCGGAUUGGCGCCUGGCACUUGGUGGUCUCUUGGUAAACAGUUGACGCGACGAGCGGACAGCAGAGAUCCAAGAAAAGCAGGGCUCUUGCUGAGACACGAAGGCAGCUGAUCAGAUCGUUGUCUCUCUUCUUAACAAAAUCAAGUGAGAUUUCUUCAGUGAAUUCCCCCGCAUCCUCGACUUCCUGCAAAUUAGACAGAUUUCCUGCAGGGGACAUGCUUCUUGACUUCCCGUUCCAUUCCCAUCACUGCAGGGGGAGGGAUGCUCGGGGCAAAAACAUACAUGAGUCACUUGCUUCGCUCAGUCCUUUUGUACCCUUCCAAUUCCCACUGACUGAGAUCCUGAAGCCCGAAGGGGACAGCCGAAUUAGCGAGUGAGGAGGACACCCAGAGCCCUUCAUUGAAUGAGGUCAGAGCCGUAAACGCCCAGCGGAGAGUGGCCCUCCGAAGUUUAGCAUGCGUCAUUCACCACGGAUCUAAAUAGAGUGCUUCCUGCUGCCAGCAUUUUCCUGUCUUCACCUUCUUUCCUGUAAACAAGUCUUUACCUAAUUGUGUGAAUGAAUGAGCAUUUUCCACAGGGAGCUGUUUUGUGGUGGAGCUUGAAUCCAAAGUUAUGAGACGAAGAAGGUCUCUGCCUUCGAGGAGCUUAUCAUCAAACUUGGAUAAAUGUGCAAUGAGAUGGGGCGCCUGGGUGGCUCAGUGGGUUAAGCACCUGCCUUCGGCUCAGGUCAUGAUCCUGGAGUCCCAGGAUCAAGUCCCACAUCAGGCCCUCUGCUCAAUGGGGAACCAACUUCUCCCUCUGCCCCUUGCCCCUUUCAUGGUCUCUCUCUCAAAUAAAUAAAACAUCUUUAAAAAAAAAUGUGCAAUGAGAUAAGACAAGUAUCAAAUACUGCCCCCUCUCCACACAACACACCAUUCUGUUGCACCCCCCGCCCCCUGCUGGAUGGGCAGGUCUUUGGGGGGACUGGGUUAUCAGGACUUCUGUUACUGGGACAUACACAAUUACAUAGAAAGCCCUUCCUGAAUCUGGAGGAGCCAGCCCUCUAUUUUCUUCCUGGUGUUACUUCUUGGUUCAAACAGGAAGGCUUCCACUUUUAAAAAAAAAGCCCCAAACCAACAAAACAUAACCCAUGCAUGAGAGACAAAUCAUUAAUUCAAGGGAUGAAGAAGAAUGCAGACCAGAUCUGGAGUAAACACCAAAGGACCAGGUCCAUGAGAAAAGCAAAGUGAGUUCCCACAUUUCCAGAGCCAUUUCAGACAUACUGUCACAGCCAUCCUAUGAGGGUCCCAAGGUGCAUAGUAGAGUCCAGGUUUACACUCAGAGGGGUUUCUGCUUCUGAAAAUAAGGAGUUUGGAAAAAAAAGGCUAUUGUGGUAGCACCUCCAAGAUGGCCUCCAAUGUUGAUGCGCUUGGCGUUAUUCAUCCUCCCCUCGAUGAUGUGCUGGAUCUAGUGACCCCUAAAAAUUGGAAUGCAGCAG